GAUGAACGCUAGCGGCAGGCUUAAUACAUGCAAGUCGAGGGGCAGCACGAAUAGCAAUAUUUGGUGGCGACCGGCGCACGGGUGCGUAAACACGUAUACAACCUACCUAUAACAGGGGGAUAGCCUUUCGAAAGAGAGAUUAAUACCCCGUAAUAAAUUGAGUGGCAUCACUUGAUUUUGAAAGCUCCGGCGGUUAUAGAUGGGUAUGCGUCUGAUUAGCUAGUUGGUGAGGUAAUGGCUCACCAAGGCGACGAUCAGUAGGGGAUCUGAGAGGACUAACCCCCACACUGGUACUGAGACACGGACCAGACUCCUACGGGAGGCAGCAGUAAGGAUAUUGGUCAAUGGAGGCAACUCUGAACCAGCCAUGCCGCGUGCAGGAUGACGGCCCUAUGGGUUGUAAACUGCUUUUGUACCAGAGAAAACCCCAGUACGUGUACUGGGUUGAUAGUAUGGUAAGAAUAAGCAUCGGCUAACUUCGUGCCAGCAGCCGACGG
RNAcentral lists this ribosomal RNA (497 nucleotides) under uncultured bacterium. RNAcentral describes it as "bacterial SSU rRNA". It matches the Rfam family "Bacterial small subunit ribosomal RNA", at positions 28 to 520 of the family's 1533-position model. The record is from RNAcentral.